This is a non-coding RNA of Paenibacillus sp. Leaf72, 333 nucleotides long. The record is from Rfam. Lineage: Bacteria; Bacillati; Bacillota; Bacilli; Caryophanales; Paenibacillaceae.
GGAGUCCCAUCAGGAUAAAGCCUAACCAGCAGUCCUGUAGCUAGUUCUUGGAGGCUAAGCGGUAACGGUUGGUUUUAAGCGUAGAACGGCAAUAUAACGGGCCGAAAGCGCAAGCUGAAGUGAUUGAGCCCCGAAAAUACGUGGAGACAGGCCGAUGUAGUUACACAUGCAGAAGGCAGAAUCNAACGGCAAUAUAACGGGCCGAAAGCGCAAGCUGAAGUGAUUGAGCCCCGAAAAUACGUGGAGACAGGCCGAUGUAGUUACACAUGCAGAAGGCAGAAUCCGUUCAAGCGAUAAGGUGAGCUUGAACGGGCGCUCCGGGGUCUUAGAGCU